GGCGACAUAGCCAAGUGGUAAGGCAUAGGACUGCAAAUCCCCUUUUCCUCAGUUCAAAUCCGAGUGUCGCCU
This 72-nucleotide transfer RNA is filed under the name Cytinus hypocistis. Its description in RNAcentral is "tRNA-Cys". It matches the Rfam family "tRNA". From Rfam's summary of the family: Transfer RNA (tRNA) molecules are approximately 80 nucleotides in length. Their secondary structure includes four short double-helical elements and three loops (D, anti-codon, and T loops). The record is from RNAcentral. Lineage: Eukaryota; Viridiplantae; Streptophyta; Magnoliopsida; Malvales; Cytinaceae.